CAGCAGCCGCGGUAAUACGUAGGGCGCGAGCGUUGUCCGGAAUUAUUGGGCGUAAAGAGCUUGUAGGCGGUUUGUCGCGUCUGCUGUGAAAGCCCGGGGCUUAACCCCGUGGUGUGCAGUGGGUACGGGCAGACUAGAGUGCAGUAGGGGAGACUGGAAUUCCUGGUGUAGCGGUGAAAUGCGCAGAUAUCAGGAGGAACACCGGUGGCGAAGGCGGUUCUCUGGGCAUUACCUGACGCUGAGGAGCGAAAGUGUGGGGAGCGAACAGGAUUAGAUACCCUGGUAGUCCACACCGUAAACGUUGGGCGCUAGGUGUGGGACCUAUUCCAUGGGUUCCGUGCCGUAGCUAACGCAUUAAGCGCCCCGCCUGGGGAGUACGGCCGC
RNAcentral lists this ribosomal RNA (384 nucleotides) under Anophryoides haemophila. RNAcentral's name for it is "partial Bacterial small subunit ribosomal RNA". It matches the Rfam family "Bacterial small subunit ribosomal RNA", at positions 509 to 889 of the family's 1533-position model. The record is from RNAcentral. Lineage: Eukaryota; Ciliophora; Oligohymenophorea; Philasterida; Glauconematidae.